GCUCAGAUUUGAAAUCUGGCCCCUUCGGGGUCCGAGUUGUAAUCUGUAGAGGAUGCUUUUGGCGACGCGCCUUCCGAGUCCCCUGGAACGGGGCGCCAGAGAGGGUGAGAGCCCCGUAUGGUUGGACGCCGAACCUCUGUAAAGCUCCUUCGACGAGUCGAGUAGUUUGGGAAUGCUGCUCAAAAUGGGAGGUAAAUUUCUUCUAAAGCUAAAUACCGGCCAGAGACCGAUAGCGCACAAGUAGAGUGAUCGAAAGAUGAAAAGCACUUUGAAAAGAGGGUCAAAUAGCACGUGAAAUUGCUGAAAGGGAAGCGCUUGUGACCAGACUUGCGCCCGGUUGAUCAUCCAGCGUUCUCGCUGGUGCACUCUGCCGGGCUCAGGCCAGCAUCGGCUCUCCCAGGGGGAUAAAGGUCGCGGGAACGUAGCUCUCUCCGGGGAGUGUUAUAGCCCGUGGCGGAAUGCCCUUAGGGGGGGCCGAGGCCCGCGUUCGCAAGGAUGCUGGCGUAAUGGUCACCAGCGACCCGUCUUGAAACACGGACCAAGGAGUCAAGCAUUAGGGCGAGUCUUUGGGUGCAAAACCCGCAGGCGCAAUGAAAGUGAACGGAGGUGAGAGCUUCGGCGCAUCAUCGACCGAUCCUGAUGUUCUCGGAUGGAUUUGAGUAAGAGCCUUACCGCUUGGACCCGAAAGAUGGUGAACUAUGCCUGAAUAGGGUGAAGCCAGAGGAAACUCUGGUGGAGGCUCGCAGCGGUUCUGACGUGCAAAUCGAUCGUCAAAUUUGGGCAUGGGGGCGAAAGACUAAUCGAACCAUCUAGUAGCUGGUUACCGCCGAAGUUUCCCUCAGGAUAGCAGUGUUGUCUUCAGUUUAUGAGGUAAGCGAAUGAUUAGGGACUCGGGG
RNAcentral lists this ribosomal RNA (896 nucleotides) under Distoseptispora submersa. RNAcentral's name for it is "LSU rRNA". It matches the Rfam family "Eukaryotic large subunit ribosomal RNA", at positions 107 to 1034 of the family's 3401-position model. Lineage: Eukaryota; Fungi; Ascomycota; Sordariomycetes; Distoseptisporaceae. The record is from RNAcentral.